This 459-nucleotide ribosomal RNA is filed under the name uncultured bacterium. RNAcentral's name for it is "partial 16S ribosomal RNA". It matches the Rfam family "Bacterial small subunit ribosomal RNA", at positions 338 to 795 of the family's 1533-position model. The record is from RNAcentral.
CCUACGGGAGGCAGCAGUGAGGAAUAUUGGUCAAUGGCCGGAAGCCUGAACCAGCCAUGCCGCGUGAAGGUCAGUGCCCUAUGGGCGUUAAACUUCUUUUGUUCGGGAACAAUAAUGGUCACGUGUGGCCAGGCGAGCGUACCGUACGAAUAAGCAUCGGCUAACUCCGUGCCAGCAGCCGCGGUCAUACUGGGGAUGCAAGCGUUAUCCGGAUUUAUUGGGUUUAAAGGGAGUGUAGAUGGGUUGUUAAGUCAGUUGUGAAAGUUUGCGGCUGAACCGUAAAAUUGCAAUUGAUACUGGCAGCCUUGAGUACAGUUGAGGGAGGCGGAAUUCGUGGUGUAGCGGUGAAAUGCGUAGAUAUCACGAAGAACUCCGAUUGCGAAGGCAGCUUACUAAACUGCCACUGACAUUGAUGCUCGAAAGUGUGGGUAGCAAACAGGAUUAGAUACCCUUGUAGUC